Molecule: ribosomal RNA, 256 nt
Filed under: uncultured bacterium
Lineage: Bacteria
Description: partial 16S ribosomal RNA
Rfam family: Bacterial small subunit ribosomal RNA
Source: RNAcentral
GACAUAGGUCGCAAACGUUAUCCGGAAUCAUUGGGCGUAAAGGGUGCGUAGAUGGCAUAAUAAGUUAUUAGUGGUAAAUCGAGGCUCAACCUCGCGGAAGCUAGUAAUACUGUUUUGCUUGAGUGCAGAAGAGGUUAACGGAACUCCAUGUGGAGCGGUAAAAUGCGUAGAUAUAUGGAAGAACAUCAAUAACGGCGAAGGCAGUUAACUAUUCUGUUACUGACAUUGAGGCACGAAAGCGUGGGGAGCAAAACGG